This 5348-nucleotide long non-coding RNA is filed under the name Helianthus annuus (common sunflower). RNAcentral's name for it is "hypothetical non coding rna". The record is from RNAcentral. Lineage: Eukaryota; Viridiplantae; Streptophyta; Magnoliopsida; Asterales; Asteraceae.
UAUUCUAUUCAUUACAGGAGAAAGUCACUAUCCUCAGUUGCCUUGUCUCUGCAUUUAGCCCCCCUUUUCAGCCCUAGACUAGGUAGAUUCUUUCGAUUCUUCAAUGAAAGCCUUCAUGAAAGCUGCAAUAGGAUAAAGGAUAUCCUCUCUUCUUGCUCUGUCAUCUUAAUGCCUUCAAUUGAAUCGAUUGGUGCCAUUUCUUCUCUUGGAGACAGGGCAAUAGAUUCAUCUUGUCCUUGGCUUGUGAAGGGAAUGAGGUAGGGUAGCCAAAGCCCCCAAUUAAGGGAUAGGGCAAUCCUUCCCAAGUAAUGCAUAAGCAAGAUCAGGACUAGAGGGGUGUGAAGAGUAGGGGAUCUCUUGUGCAAAGCAAAGACAGGUACGUGCUAGCAAAGAAGGGAAGUGGCAAGGGAUUGAAAAGAAGAAGAAAGAAGAGAAAGUUAGUACACAGAGUCUUCCCCUGCCUAAUUGAUCUAAUGAUAAAGAAGUAGGCUAAGUAAAAUAGAAAGUGUGUGUAAACAAUAAGUAAUGACUUGCUUUGUGAGAGCUCAGUUUCUAAGACGAAGGCUAAGAAUUCCCUACUAGAGGGAUUGAAAAGAUCGAGGGUAAUUUCUGAGUCUUUAUGGACCUUUCUUAUUAUAGGCCAAAGGAAUAGCUAAGGACUUCUUCCCUCAUUCUCAUCAAAUUGGGGUAGCUCAGGAACUAUAGAAUCUCUCAUGAGUUGAAUAAACUCUUUUAUGCUAGUGGAAUUGGGAAGCAUGAUAAGUCCGUACUCCACAUUCUAGCUUCAUCCUUGGUUUUCAAAGAAAGGAACCGACAGAAGAUAAAGGUAAGAUAAUUCUUUCUGGCCUUAACUGAGAGCGGGGAGGCCCAGGUCUACAUACAGGUCUUGGAUCAACAGAAUCCUCCAAUUGCUAGGGAAAGAAUAUCGGGAUUAGCCUCCUUGCCAUUGCUACCGUCUUUGAAAGUCUAGCUAUCCUCUCCUUGUCAUGCUUAGUUAUUCUGCAUUGCUCCUUCUUCUUAUCUUGCUUUCUUGCCUUAUAGAAUUGACCUUUGUCCCCUCCUUCCGGUUUUCACACUCACUUAAAGUCCAUUCCUUGCUCUUGCCUAGUUCUAGGCUUAGACGAAAGAGCUCAUUCAUAGAUUCUAUCUUUCUAGCAUUUCAUGUCUUUCUUCCUUCAACUCUAAUUCAUGACAUGAAUUGUUAAGUCCUUCUAUAAUAGCUAUUGCCUCUCUUCUCACCUCCCCUAGAGCUAUUGAAUAAAAAUCUGAGGCUCACUCGCUGCCCUAAGCCCUACAGUUCCUUUGCUUACCGCCUAAGAUGAAUCUAUUGCCUCCCAUCCCUCCACGAGUAGAUAUUUAGUAUUAAAUAGUGUCAAAUCCAAUCCAAGCAAUUAUCAAGAAGAAAAACUCAGGACUAGGAAAGAAAGGCAGAGACAGGGAAAGCUAGGGUGAUAGCACUAUAGAUGAGUAAUAGGAUAGGGAGUACUUCGCUACACUCAUUAGGACAACAAUCUCCUAACUACUAUGAGUUAAGCAACUAAUGGACAGACCAGGCCGCAUAAGACUACUGAAAUAGAAAAAGAGAAGGGAUUCACGGGCAGUGAAGGCAACCAAGGGAGAGGAAUCAUUCCAUUCAAUUCCGAAGCCUAGCGUCUCCUGUAAGACUCUAUCACCUUCAUUCUUUUGUUGAGGUUCUGGCACUUCUUCCUCCGGCCCUUUAUUUACAUAGCGAAGAAAGGCAAAGGCUCUUGCUUGAAUGCGUGACUUAUGUCUCUUUUUCCAUUUAUAAAAAGUAAGAUGAAUCUAGGCUCCUCGGCCUAUAGUAAGUGAAUGAGAGGGUAUGGGGUUCCGGGUCUUUUUCCAUUCAAAAUUGACUAAGAGGCAAUCCCCGUUUUCUGUGAUAAUGUGAAAGGACUCAAUUCCUUCUUUCUUCCCCAGCGAAUGUAGCAGGAACAGCCUUCCCGCAGUCGCAUUAAGGAGAUUUUUUCUUGAAACUCUUUACUCCUUCACCCGUAGCAAGUACUCAUUUCUAUUUAGUUGUUUUCUUACUCUAUCCGGCUAUUGAACCUGGUUUCCCUCUACAUAUGGUAAUAGAGAGUUAGACAGCUUAGAGAGCUCCUCAAAGGGCUAGUUCUCACUCUGUUUUGGGGACCCCCAAGACUGUCUUUCCCUGUGUUUCCUAGUCUAUAUAGGUCCAAUCUCAUCUGCUAGCGCUUCUUCGUUGCUUGGUCAGGACACAUUCAUCGAUUUCUUUUCAUUCUUCCUGGGAUUGCAAGUGACUUACUUCUUUUGGUCGUUCUUGCUGUCUUAAGUCGUCCUCUUUUCUUUAGAAGCUGUUAGUUGAUUUCGUGCCUGCCCUAAGGCUAAGGGGAGAACUGCAUGUCCUACUAGUCGGAAAGAAGCCUACCCACCUACCAGCCUACCUUGUUCAUAUGGAGCCGGACAGGAGAGACCCUCCUUAAAUUGAAUAGAAGCAAUUUCGUUUAUAAGCUUGAAAAUAGCCGCUGUAAAUCAAUUCAUAGAUAGGGGAGUUCUAAACCAGCAGCAAGCCCUUUCUCGCCCUUUCUAAUGUCCUAGGCGAAGGCAGUGCAGGUGAAAGCCCAAUAGAUCCCAUUUUUUUUAUCGCUCCACAUAGCUCACGACCCGGCACGAAGAAAUCUCGUAGACGGGUGGAUGCGAAUCUGGAUCUAUCAACGGAGCAAUUCCAUUCCAGUCGUAGUUUCAAUCCCAUAUCCAAUGAAAGUCUCCGCCGUGUCUGACCCCCUCUUUAUAUCCGGAGUGAGUCAGGCGGCUAAGCCUUUAAUCCUGAUAAAAGAAAGAGUUUUCCCACCCUCCAAGUAUCCAUAAAUGGAAUCGGUUUGAGUGAAUUACUUACCGCAGUCAAAGCCAAUAGGGAAAGUCAGGUCAAGAGAGAGUCUCUUUCCGAUUAGUGCAUCUCGCACUUCUAAUUGAUUCCGAGUUAGAAAAAGUCAGUUCCUUCCCUCCCUUUUACUUUUUCUAAGGUAAAGUCCUCUUAAAUGGAUUACUAGUUCCUUCCUUCCCAAUCAAUGCUAACUCUAUCUUCCUCUCUUGUAAUUUAGGAGAUUUCCCCAGCCCGUAAAGAACCGUAGUUACAUAGAGCUCUCAAAAGAUAAAAAGAGAAAGAGCUAUGAGUUCAAGUAAGAAAGUGAAAGUUCAGUCCUCAUAGUUUCCCUAUCCCACUGCCAAAAAGAAGACAGCAACAAUCUAGCUCCUCGUACUACUUCUCUCAGUAAAUACCAUUCUCUUAGUUAGGUAGUAAGUAGAUAGACGGAUUAGUACUUUUACCCAGGGGUAGCCUUCCUUGUCGCCAAAGAAGAAUGAGAAUUGAUAAAGUUUUCUUAGGGUUUUUCGCUUCAAUAGCAGAAGCAAAGAAGUCAAAUCAAUGCAGCUUUCGUGCCCAGCCUAAAAAGAUCCUAUCCUCUUGCAGCUGGAGCUCUUGAUGGCACGUUCAAGCGAGUUUAUGAAUGAAUGAAAUCAGUUGAAGGAGCGGCCAAGGACGAAAGCUUUGAUUGCGUUCUGCUGUGGUUGGCUUUUUCCUUGCCUAAAACAACUAUCUUCUCUUCGCGAACGGUUAAGAAUCCUCUUUGUAUGCGCGUUAUCUCUUGUUUAUUCUUCUAGUUUUUGCUUCUUAUACUUUGAUGGGUGAGACUCCGUUUCUUCUUAGGUUGUCUGUAAGUGUAGUUCAUGGUUCACGGAUCGUUAGAUCGUUAGCUGGAUAGGUGGGCAAUUCCUAUUGGUGGAGCUAAGACACCUUCGAGAGAUAUAGCUAUAGCUCUUGAUGGCACGGGCAAGACAGUUCAUGAAUGAAUGGCGAGUUUUCUAUUUACUAGAAUAUCUUUCCGGAAGCUUCUUUUUAGAAUUGAUUGCUACCGGUGGUGAAAAAAUUGAAUCAACGGCAUCGAAUGCAAGCUCUGAUAAAGUUUUAUUUUGAUUUAUGGACUACAACGACCUAAAGUAGCUAAAUAAGUAGUGAAAGUAAGCUCCUGGCUAAAAUGAGUCUUGGUUCUACCCACCGGCAAUCAUUUUUCGACCUGAUUAAAAGUUUGAUUGUAGAUUGGCUAUUUCAGGGUUCCAUGCCCAUGGAUUACCAUAUUAUAGCUUUUUUGAUUCGUCGGGUAUGUCGGCUAAGAGAAUCGCUUCUCGCCUUGCUUGCAAGAGUAUAAGCAGUAGAUUUUGACCCUAUAUGAGAUAAAACUCUUUCAAUUCAUGAGAGAAAGCGAUUUAGUAGUGAUUUCCCUGUUCUAGUGCAAGACGUAAGGAGAAGCACGAGCGGAGCGGUCUGGCUAAACGUGCAAUGCCCCGUAGGGAGAUCUAGCUUAUUGGUCUAGUGCUUCCGGGUGCUUGCCAGUUCUGAAUGACUUCACUUAGUUUGCCAUGUUCUUACAAGAAAGAAUCUCUUCUCCGAAUCGAAUCUACGCAUAUCGAAUUCAAUAAAGACUUGAAUAGAUGCCUUCCUUCAAAUAUAGUUCAUCCUGUUGAUGGUAGCCUAUUCCUAUGAAGGAAGGUAAGCAUGAAGCAACGGCUAGAUCCUCACAGUAGGCAGCUUAGCUGUGAUUAUGAAGUUAGGUGAGAAGCGUUAUGCAAUAGAGAAGUCAGCUAGUGCACUUAGACAGGUAGUUGAUUUCAUUAGGGAAUUGAAUUGUAGGAAGGUUAGCAGGUCAGGUAGUCCUUAGGCCGUUGAGCGAAACUCUUGGCAUCCUCCUCUUAUGAGGGGUUAAGAGUGAAAGAAUCAUUAUAAAACUACGAGGUCGCCCCCACUUCUUAGAGCUCUCUUGCUACCGGUUCCUUAGACUAUAGGCAGAAAGGCCGAGGCAGAGCCAACAAUUCUCUAAAAGCAAGGAUGAUUACCUACGUUCCAAUGAAGCACAUUCCAACAAUUACCUAGCCCGGUAGGUGGAGGAAAAAGGCGGAGAACAUUCUUUAAUCAAAGACGCCAAUACCCAUAUCAGGAUUAGACCCAUUUCGAUCGAGCGGCAACCGCUGCUGCGGUAUGGUCCAGAGUCGAAACUGGCUAACAUAGGGCAAGGGUCCUGAUGGGCAAGUAUAAAUAGAAGAAGCAGCUCCUCUCACUGCCUCGUAUAGGGUUCUGGGCCUCGUAUUGACUAUUACUAAAGGAAAGCAACCCCCGGAUAUUGACCUAUCGGCAACUUCGAACUCUCACUCUCCUUCAGCCGAUUCAGAUACCGAAUUGUAUCUCUUGGAGAGAGCCGCAGAAGCUCUCCCUUUGACUCAGGGGGCCUUCCAACACUUCGACUGAUGCGGACGCGGUUCUCUCGUUGUGAAAGAAGUAAUGAAAGGUAAGCCCCGGGUCAACCCGCGCUCGUUGU